AGAGGGUGCUAGCGUUGUUCGGAAUUAUUGGGCGUAAAGCGCGUGUAGGCGGCCAUGCAAGUUGGGUGUGAAAGCCCUCGGCUUAACCGAGGAAGUGCGCUCAAAACUACAAGGCUUGAGUACCGGAGAGGGUGGCGGAAUUCCCGGUGUAGAGGUGAAAUUCGUAGAUAUCGGGAGGAACACCAGUGGCGAAGGCGGCCACCUGGACAGAUACUGACGCUGAGACGCGAAAGCGUGGGGAGCAAACAGGAUUAGAUACCCUGGUAGUCCACGCUGUAAACGAUGAGCGCUAGGUGUUGCGGGUGUUGACCCCUGCAGUGCCGAAGCUAACGCAUUAAGCGCUCCGCCUGGGAAGUACGGCCGCAAGGCUA
Molecule: ribosomal RNA, 371 nt
Filed under: uncultured bacterium
Lineage: Bacteria
Description: bacterial SSU rRNA
Rfam family: Bacterial small subunit ribosomal RNA
Source: RNAcentral